AGAGUUUGAUCCUGGCUCAGGACGAGCGCUGGCGGCGUGCUUAACACAUGCAAGUCGAACGGUGAAGUCCCUUCGGGGGCGGAUCAGUGGCGAACGGGUGAGUAACACGUGGGCAAUCUGCCCCUCACUGUGGGAUAACUCCGGGAAACCGGGGCUAAUACCGCAUAUGAAGCCUGGCGGCAUCGCCGGGUUUGGAAAGUUUUUCGGUGAGGGAUGAGCCCGCGGCCUAUCAGCUUGUUGGUGAGGUAAUGGCUCACCAAGGCGACGACGGGUAGCCGGCCUGAGAGGGCGACCGGCCACACUGGGACUGAGACACGGCCCAGACUCCUACGGGAGGCAGCAGUGGGGAAUAUUGGGCAAUGGGCGAAAGCCUGACCCAGCGACGCCGCGUGCGGGAGGAAGGCCUUCGGGUUGUAAACCGC
Molecule: ribosomal RNA, 422 nt
Filed under: uncultured bacterium
Lineage: Bacteria
Description: bacterial SSU rRNA
Rfam family: Bacterial small subunit ribosomal RNA
Source: RNAcentral